CCGCAUAAAUCCUCCCACGUCUCUUUGAUAUGGAUGUUUCCCAUAACUUCAGAGGAGAGAAACCUCCAGUCUGUUCAUCAUGAAGAAAGCACUUGAAACAGAGACCAAUUUCUUCACUUCUGGCAUUCACUAAUGUUCAGAUGAUGGGACUUCAUUGCUGUGCAAACCCAAUAACAUCGGUCCAUCCAGCUUUCAAAAACAUUUGUUAUUUCUUUCAAGACAAUCCCUUUGGCCUUUGAUUAAUUCUACUUGUAACAACCAGAAGAAAACCCUACGCAAUUGUCCCAUCACUGAGACGUGGUGCUAUUACUGUCAAAUGAAGCUUUCUUUACCCCAGGUGUGGUGUUAUUAUACCGCAUACAAGAGCACCCGACAUAAGAACCAAGAAGAGAAUGCAUUUGCAGAAGGAAAGUUAGCAAGACUGGGCCUUGACUCGAGGAAGUGUCUGCCUCCAGGUGGAAGAAGUCUGGUUGCCCUAUGGUGACCAGAAGCCCUGUGUCCACACUGUACUAGCUGUGAUGGUGCUACAGGACAUUUGGAAGACACGACAAGCAUCCUGAGGCCUGAGAUUUCUC
Long non-coding RNA from Calidris pugnax (ruff), 575 nucleotides. RefSeq lists it as uncharacterized. The record is from RefSeq and is a predicted model, not a curated record. Lineage: Eukaryota; Metazoa; Chordata; Aves; Charadriiformes; Scolopacidae. The transcript is spliced from 3 exons.